Molecule: long non-coding RNA, 1260 nt
Organism: Varroa destructor (honeybee mite)
Lineage: Eukaryota; Metazoa; Arthropoda; Arachnida; Mesostigmata; Varroidae
Source: RefSeq, a predicted model, not a curated record
CAGCUCGUUGACUGGGCCUUAAGGCUGCGGUGUUCAGAUAUGGACUUUUGUGCUUUCGAGUCGUUGGGCGAUUUCAUAGUAGACAAUGCAGCUUGCCUUUACACGUCUCAUCAAUCGAUCGCUGCUCCCGUUGCACCGGCCAAUUCCCCUUGCUAUUCCCCCCGUGUGUGCCCGUGUCUGCGCCCGUCUGGCUCUGUGUGCGUGGCUGUUCAUUUAUCUGCUGCCCUACCUCGCCGACACAACCCAACUUUCUUGACCAUUGCGCCACAUCGCACACCUCAAUGACCAAAGUCAGUUAAUCAUCAACGCCUAAGACUCGGGAAUCUCAAGGUGGCCCGCCAUGGAGACUUAGCGGUAACGACAAUAAUAAGACUAGGGGCAGAACAAUAAUCUGAGUUUGUGCAUACGCAAACACUAGACAGGGCCUCAAAGGUCACGGUGCAAGGCCAGCUAGCACAAGUCAAUACUCAGCCCAGCAGAUCAAAGCCAACAAUCAUCGGAAAGCCAAACCAACCUGAAGCGAGAUUUCUUAGAAGAUGCUCUGUGUAAACAUUCGGUCGAGUAACCGAUAAUCUGAAAAACAGACAAGUAGGCUACCGGACAGCGCGCCGGAACUAACAAGGGCUGAAGCAUGUGAAAGAUACUUCCCACGUUUAGCUGGUCCUAUGAAAAUCGCCCGGACAAAUUCAGUGAAAUGAGGUAUGUAAUAAUGAAAAUAUAACUACGGCGGGCCGGCUAGUGGGCAUCGGUCUGCGUGGACGACUUUACAAAGAGUGUCAAGAAUUGCACCUACGGGGCAGCAAUAGGCUAUCCUAUGGAAGAUGAAUUAAGAUCUUACGAUGAUGGCUGGCUUGCCAUGAUGACGGCUCGAAGAAUGCGUGCUUGCACCUAUAUAGUGCGACACUGCACGGGACUUCUAGCAAUGUAGACUUGCACCCUUUCCGGGGCACAUCGUUUCGUAGUAAUCGCCAAAUCGACUACAUCGGAAGAACCAGAGCUAAAUAUACCUCUCCGCACUUCUGCUACCAGCAGGUCUGCAGAAGAUUGUCGCUGCUGUUCUCAGUUGCCUACCCAACCAAGUCUGGUUACAGGUUUUAACAACACUAUGUUCACGACAUUUCCUCGACCGAGACGAAGCAGUUGAAGCACUACGAAAUUAAGCCCAAAGAAGCAAAGCUGCUAAUCGAAAAAGUUUGAGCAGAAAAAAAAUAGCCCAUCUUUGGAACGCUGCGAGCAGUCCCCUCAAACUGCUGCCCAUGC